Non-coding RNA from Paramuricea clavata, 310 nucleotides. The record is from the annotation of a GenBank genome assembly. NCBI's taxonomy places the organism in Eukaryota, Metazoa, Cnidaria, Anthozoa, Malacalcyonacea, Plexauridae.
AUGGAAUUGAGUUUAUUUAUGCACACAUAUUUGUAAAAACAGGUUUAUUAACUUUUUUAGUUAUUUAAGCAAAUUCGCCACCGAUAUAUGUAUAGUGAUGUUGUCGCUGUAUUAGUCUCGUUGUAUUUACUUUAUCGCUUAUUGACAAUUUUUGUCAUAGAAUUGUUUUGUUCGAUAUAAUAAAACUCCUAUUGGAUUCAUCUUCGCCCAAUAUGGCAAAAUAUUAAGUCUCGACUUCAAUAUUAGGCUCGACCUUCGGUCUCGCCCAAUAUUGAAGUCUCGACUUAAUAUUUUGCCAUAUUGGGCUCAG